Molecule: long non-coding RNA, 2661 nt
Filed under: Nicotiana benthamiana
Lineage: Eukaryota; Viridiplantae; Streptophyta; Magnoliopsida; Solanales; Solanaceae
Description: long non-coding RNA (NBEN_LNC005556)
Source: RNAcentral
UUUUAAAACACUUACACACACCUUCCCUCUCUCAUCUCCUUACCUCAACCCGUCGCCCAUCACUGCUUUCCACCUCAACGGUCACAGGUAAUUUCUCUUCCUUUUUUCUUGUCUUCUCUCUCCUAACUCUUCCCUCUUCAGUAUCUUAUUUAAAGCAAUGGAUUCCCAGCCCCAAAAUCCCCUAGGUUAAGUUGCAUUAAGUUUAAUAUAACAAAAUGUGAUUACAGAGGGAAAUUGAGGAAAAUUUGGGACUUGUGGGUGUUGUUUUUGUUAUUUGUGAUUGUUGUGAGAUGAUAAACUAAAUUUCCCUUCAUCUCGUUAAACUUUGGGGGAGAAAUUGAAUCGCUCAAUUUAUAGAACAACCUACGCAAAAUUUUUGCAUACAACAUGUUCGACGAAUUGCCUGUGAGAUAAAUUUAGGCGCCGGCGAAGUCUGAGUGUCACGACACAAAACCCAAUCCCGGUUGUAAUGGCACAUCUCGUGAAGACAAUGUCAGCUGACACACUUCCUAUUCACUUUAAAUAUUUAAAAUAAUAAAUACUAAGCCUUUAACAGAAAUAAAAUCCCAAAACAAGCAUUUAACAGUUUAACUUGCGGAAAUAAAAACUAAUACAAUCCGACAUAGGGAUGUCACCAAUCAUGAGCAUCUAAAGCAAUACUGAAAUCUAAUCCACUACUAUACAACUGAAUCAAAAGAACUAAGAUAGAGGGAGAAUGCACUGGGAUGCAAAUCGUCAAGCAGCUACCUAUUAAUUCUCCGGAGGCCUGCUGAAACUAUCAACCAUCAGGAGCAGGACAUGUAGCGCCCGAAUCUGCACGCAGGGUGCAGGAAAUAAAGUGAGUACUCUAACUCAGUGAGUAUUAAAAAUAAAUGAAUACUGAGUAACAUAAAACCACGUAAGUCACAAUAUUAAGCUAAUAGAGACAUAGCAAAAAUAGUAAUACAAUUAAGCAGUGAAAACUCAUAAACAUCCUUUAAACGGCUAACAAUAUACAAGAAAAACAACUAAAAAGUAAAUACAUAAUAACUGCACCCCCCUUUGCACAGUAACUAGAAUUAUCUCCUCGGGCUAUAUCACAUAUCACAAUGGGUACCUGCGCUCACUAGGGGGUAUUACAGACUCCGGGAGGGGCCCCUUACGCCCCAAGCGCAAUAUCAAGCCAUCUCGUAUCAUCAUAAACAGGCUUUCAGCCUCAUAUCAAUCACAAGCUACCUUUCGGUGUACAAUCUCAGGAUCUCAGCCUUAUUAUCAUAAUCAGUAUAUCGCUGUUGUGGCAUACUGCCCGAUCCAAAAGUAUCCUCAUAACACAGGCCAUCGGUCUUACUCAGUCAGAAUCUCAUAAGCCCCUCGGACCACAGUAAUUGAAGCUCAGCUCAAAAACCUUUGAAAAUAUCAACUAAUGUGUUUUAAACAGAAUAACAUAGCUGAGUUUCUAAAAUAGUAAAAUAUAGUAUGACUGAGCACAAGUAUGAAAUCAAACAGUGAGGAAAAAUAUCAUGUAAAUCUGUUAAGGGUUUAAACAGUUGACACGAAGCCCAUAUAUGAAAAUUAGCCAAAAUAUAAAUUGUCAAAUAGUCACACUGGAUAGACUAAGUCACAAUCCCCAACGGAGCAUGAUCCCAUGCUUGUCAUCUAGCGUGUGUCUCACCUCAACAUAGCCGAACACUGUGAAAUUCCGGGGUUUCAUACCCUCAGAACAACAUUUAAAAUCAUUAUUUGUAGACAUGAGAUUUUUGACCCUUCCCAAAUUUUUUAUAUUUUACCAUGUAAAUAUUUAAUUUAAGCCUAAUAUAACUAUUUUAACUAUUUUUAAAUUCUUUACUUUAUUUUCUUCAUAUAAAUAGAAAUUACAAAAAAUAUUUUAACUUAUAUAUCUUUCAUAAAAUUAAAUAAAAUAUAUAAAAAAUAGUACAUUAUUUUAAAUUUUUACAUAAUCUUGAAAAUACAAAAAAGAUAUAUAAUAGCUUCAUGUUAGAUUUUGCAUUGUAUAAUAUAUUUAUCUCAUUUUAAGAGAAGUCAAUUAAGGUGAUGGAUCACAAUUUUAAGAGUUUUAGAGUUCAAUUCUUAACUCAAUUCGGAAGCCUAGGAACCCUUCUAAACUUUCUUUGGAACAAAAACAAAUAAAACAGACCCUAAAGACUUAACACAAAAAAACCUAUGGACUAAUUUGCAAAAUAAACCUAAACCUAGAAUCUACCUAUAAAGUAAUGCUAAAAAUCUGAAAGAAGAGGGGAGAGGGGGGAAAGGAAAAGAAUGAAAAACAGAGAGGAGAAAAUCUGGGGAGGGACGGAACAGAUCUAAAAAAGGGGCUGGCCUGAUCUUCUUUCUUCAACAGAGGUGACCUUCUGCCAUCCAAAAACAACUGCUAGUUGUCAGAGAAAACGCCAUCCAAACUCCAUUUUUCUUCACCUUAGAUUCUCUGCUUGAAAAAAGAGAAAAUGUAAUUUGUUUAUUAGAAGCCAGAAUUCCGUCGUAAGAAUCGUGAAUUUGUCUUUAAGAAUUAAAAUAUUCUCUUGGUGGAUUUUGUUAAAUAUCCUAAAUUAAUUUUUGAGUUGUUUGGUUUUAUUUGGAGUUUUUGGUCAUUAAUUAGUUUGUUUUCUACGUCAAGCAGUUGAUUUGUUUGCGAUUAAUUUUUUGGAUUCAUUGUUAAGAGAGGAC